RNAcentral lists this ribosomal RNA (765 nucleotides) under uncultured Streptococcus sp. RNAcentral describes it as "bacterial SSU rRNA". It matches the Rfam family "Bacterial small subunit ribosomal RNA", at positions 28 to 776 of the family's 1533-position model. Lineage: Bacteria; Bacillati; Bacillota; Bacilli; Lactobacillales; Streptococcaceae. The record is from RNAcentral.
GACGAACGCUGGCGGCGUGCCUAAUACAUGCAAGUAGAACGCUGAAGAGAGGAGCUUGCUCUUCUUGGAUGAAUUGCGAACGGGUGAGUAACGCGUAGGUAACCUGCCUUGUAGCGGGGGAUAACUAUUGGAAACGAUAGCUAAUACCGCAUAACAAUAGGUGACACAUGUCAUUUAUUUGAAAGGGGCAAUUGCUCCACUACAAGAUGGACCUGCGUUGUAUUAGCUAGUAGGUGAGGUAACGGCUCACCUAGGCGACGAUACAUAGCCGACCUGAGAGGGUGAUCGGCCACACUGGGACUGAGACACGGCCCAGACUCCUACGGGAGGCAGCAGUAGGGAAUCUUCGGCAAUGGGGGCAACCCUGACCGAGCAACGCCGCGUGAGUGAAGAAGGUUUUCGGAUCGUAAAGCUCUGUUGUGAGUCAAGAACGAGUGUGAGAGUGGAAAGUUCACACUGUGACGGUAGCUUACCAGAAAGGGACGGCUAACUACGUGCCAGCAGCCGCGGUAAUACGUAGGUCCCGAGCGUUGUCCGGAUUUAUUGGGCGUAAAGCGAGCGCAGGCGGUUUGAUAAGUCUGAAGUUAAAGGCUGUGGCUCAACCAUAGUUCGCUUUGGAACUGUCAAACUUGAGUGCAGAAGGGGAGAGUGGAAUUCCAUGUGUAGCGGUGAAAUGCGUAGAUAUAUGGAGGAACACCGGUGGCGAAAGCGGCUCUCUGGUCUGUAACUGACGCUGAGGCUCGAAAGCGUGGGGGAGCGAACAGG